Molecule: long non-coding RNA, 95 nt
Organism: Neltuma alba
Lineage: Eukaryota; Viridiplantae; Streptophyta; Magnoliopsida; Fabales; Fabaceae
Exons: 3
Source: RefSeq, a predicted model, not a curated record
AGUUGCCUCAAAUUCUCAAACACUACAUCUUUCCCUUGAUAACCCUCUCCAAAAUCCUUUUCUGGAUCUGGGGCAUAAAGCAUGGGAGGCAUUGU